Molecule: ribosomal RNA, 404 nt
Filed under: uncultured Paracoccaceae bacterium
Lineage: Bacteria; Pseudomonadati; Pseudomonadota; Alphaproteobacteria; Rhodobacterales; Paracoccaceae
Description: bacterial SSU rRNA
Rfam family: Bacterial small subunit ribosomal RNA
Source: RNAcentral
CAAGCCUGAUCCAGCCAUACCGCGUGGGUGAAGAAGGCCUUCGGGUUGUAAAGCCCUUUUGUUGGGAAAGAAAUCCAGCCGGCUAAUACCUGGUUGGGAUGACGGUACCCAAAGAAUAAGCACCGGCUAACUUCGUGCCAGCAGCCGCGGUAAUACGAAGGGUGCAAGCGUUACUCGGAAUUACUGGGCGUAAAGCGUGCGUAGGCUGACUUUUAAGUCAGGGGUGAAAUCCCGGGGCUCAACCUCGGAACUGCCUUUGAUACUGAAAGUCUUGAGUCCGAGAGAGGUGAGUGGAACUCCGAGUGUAGAGGUGAAAUUCGUAGAUAUUCGGAAGAACACCAGUGGCGAAGGCGGCUCACUGGCUCGGUACUGACGCUGAGGUGCGAAAGCGUGGGGAGCAAACA